RNAcentral lists this ribosomal RNA (301 nucleotides) under uncultured bacterium. RNAcentral describes it as "partial 16S ribosomal RNA". It matches the Rfam family "Bacterial small subunit ribosomal RNA", at positions 509 to 807 of the family's 1533-position model. The record is from RNAcentral.
CAGCAGCCGCGGGAAUACGUAGGGUGCAAGCGUUAAUCGGAAUUACUGGGCGUAAAGCGUGCGCAGGCGGUUAUAUAAGACAGAUGUGAAAUCCCCGGGCUUAACCUGGGAACUGCAUUUGAAACUGGCAAGCUAGAGUCUUGUAGAGGGGGGUAGAAUUCCAGGUGUAGCGGUGAAAUGCGUAGAGAUCUGGAGGAAUACCGGUGGCGAAGGCGGCCCCCUGGACAAAGACUGACGCUCAGGUGCGAAAGCGUGGGGAGCAAACAGGAUUAGAUACCCCGGUAGUCCCUGUCUCUUAUAC